Molecule: ribosomal RNA, 253 nt
Filed under: uncultured bacterium
Lineage: Bacteria
Description: partial 16S ribosomal RNA
Rfam family: Bacterial small subunit ribosomal RNA
Source: RNAcentral
UACGUAGGGGGCUAGCAUUGUCCGGAAUCAUUGGGCGUAAAGCGCGUGUAGGCGGUCCGGUAAGUCCGCUGUGAAAGUCGGGGGCUCAACCCUCGGAUGCCGGUGGAUACUGUCGGGCUUGAGUACGGAAGAGGCGAGUGGAAUUCCUGGUGUAGCGGUGAAAUGCGCAGAUAUCAGGAGGAACACCAAUUGCGAAGGCAGCUCGCUGGGACGUUACUGACGCUGAGACGCGAAAGCGUGGGGAGCAAACAGG